This is a long non-coding RNA of Humulus lupulus (European hop), 260 nucleotides long. RefSeq lists it as uncharacterized. The record is from RefSeq and is a predicted model, not a curated record. Lineage: Eukaryota; Viridiplantae; Streptophyta; Magnoliopsida; Rosales; Cannabaceae. The transcript has 3 exons.
UGGAUCUGGUGGGGAAAGACAGACACCUGAGUAGUAUCAGGAGAAAGGAAUAGAGACGAUGUAUAAUGAACCAGUGACAAGUAUAGAUAUAGAAAAGCAUACCCUAACAACAAAUUCUGGAAAGCUGCUAAAGUAUGGAUCUCUAAUUGUUGCCACAGGGUGUACAGCCUCAAGGUUUCCAGAAAAAAAUUGGAGGAAACCUGCCUGGUGUUCACUAUAUCUGUGAUGUUGCCGAUGCUGAUGUGCUUAUAUCAUCUUUG